Molecule: small RNA, 85 nt
Filed under: Mus pahari (shrew mouse)
Lineage: Eukaryota; Metazoa; Chordata; Mammalia; Rodentia; Muridae
Description: sRNA (MGP_PahariEiJ_G0008088.1)
Source: RNAcentral
UCCUGCAGCAGGCCGUGCUUGCGGACCCCUCUGGAGACUUCCCGAACCCUGUGGAUUUACAGUAAGAUGCAGUUUCCCUGGGGAG